AUUGAACGCUGGCGGCAGGCCUAACACAUGCAAGUCGAGCGGAUGAAGGGAGCUUGCUCCUGGAUUCAGCGGCGGACGGGUGAGUAAUGCCUAGGAAUCUGCCUGGUAGUGGGGGAUAACGUCCGGAAACGGGCGCUAAUACCGCAUACGUCCUGAGGGUGAAAGUGGGGGAUCUUCGGACCUCACGCUAUCAGAUGAGCCUAGGUCGGAUUAGCUAGUUGGUGGGGUAAAGGCUUACCAAGGCGACGAUCCGUAACUGGUCUGAGAGGAUGAUCGGUCACAUUGGAACUGAGACACGGUCCAGACUCCUACGGGAGGCAGCAGUGGGGAAUAUUGGACAAUGGGCGAAAGCCUGAUGCAGCCAUGCCGCGUGUGUGAAGAAGGUCUUCGGAUUGUAAAGCACUUUUAGUUGGGAGGAAGGGCAGUAAGUUUAUACCUUGAUGUUUUGACGUUACCAACAGAAUAAGCCCCGGCUAACUUCGUG
This 484-nucleotide ribosomal RNA is filed under the name uncultured bacterium. Its description in RNAcentral is "partial 16S ribosomal RNA". It matches the Rfam family "Bacterial small subunit ribosomal RNA", at positions 30 to 507 of the family's 1533-position model. The record is from RNAcentral.